CUGAUAUUGAGCAGCCGUACAGGUCGUUCAAUUUCUAUAGAUUGUCCACUCGAAAUCCCGAUCGAAUCUUCCUUCUCGAGAGUGCUAGCUCACGUCAAAAGUUCUUAAUGGCUGAUCCAAGCUCCUUUCUUUGGAUCUAUCAGACUCUUUCAGAUCAGAAGAUGAAGCUUUAUGAAAAGAUAGUGGUGUAAGAGAUUGGAUAAGACUCACUCUUAUAUUUUUCUCUCACAAAAUCUAGAGUCGAAACCCUAGAACCCACCCU
RNAcentral lists this long non-coding RNA (262 nucleotides) under Elaeis guineensis (African oil palm). RNAcentral describes it as "long non-coding RNA (EGUI_LNC034980)". Lineage: Eukaryota; Viridiplantae; Streptophyta; Magnoliopsida; Arecales; Arecaceae. The record is from RNAcentral.